GAAAAUGCCUAGAUGGGCCGCCAGGCUCCAUAAACA
This 36-nucleotide transfer RNA is filed under the name Panthera tigris corbetti (Indochinese tiger). RNAcentral describes it as "partial tRNA-Phe". The record is from RNAcentral. Lineage: Eukaryota; Metazoa; Chordata; Mammalia; Carnivora; Felidae.